AGAGUUUGAUCCUGGCUCAGGAUGAACGCUGGCGGCGUGCUUAACACAUGCAAGUCGAACGAUCCUUCGGGAUAGUGGCGGACGGGUGAGUAACGCGUGGGAAUCUGCCCUCAGGAGGGGGAUAACGGCUGGAAACGGCCGCUAAUACCCCAUAUGCCGAGAGGUGAAAUGAAUUUCGCCUGAGGAUGAGCCCGCGUCUGAUUAGCUAGUUGGUGGGGUAAUGGCCUACCAAGGCAACGAUCAGUAGCUGGUCUGAGAGGAUGAUCAGCCACACUGGGACUGAGGCACGGCCCAGACUCCUACGGGAGGCAUCAGUGGGGAAUUUUCCGCAAUGGGCGAAAGCCUGACGGAGCAACGCCGCGUGAGGGAUGAAGGCCUCUGGGCUGUAAACCUCUUUUCUCAAGGAAGAAGACCUGACGGUACUUGAGGAAUAAGCCACGGCUAAUUCCGUGCCAGCAGCCGCGGUAAUACGGGAGUGGCAAGCGUUAUCCGGAAUUAUUGGGCGUAAAGCGUCCGCAGGCGGCCUUGUAAGUCUGUUGUUAAAGCGUGGAGCUCAACUCCAUUUAAGCAAUGGAAACUACAAGGCUGGAGUGUGGUAGGGGCAGAGGGAAUUCCCGGUGUAGCGGUGAAAUGCGUAGAUAUCGGGAAGAACACCAGUGGCGAAGGCGCUCUGCUGGGCCAUAACUGACGCUCAUGGACGAAAGCCAGGGGAGCGAAAGGGAUUAGAUACCCCUGUAGUCCUGGCCGUAAACGAUGAACACUAGGUGUCGGGGGAAUCGACCCCCUCGGUGUCGUAGCCAACGCGUUAAGUGUUCCGCCUGGGGAGUACGCACGCAAGUGUGAAACUCAAAGGAAUUGACAGGGGCCCGCACAAGCGGUGGAGUAUGUGGUUUAAUUCGAUGCAACGCGAAGAACCUUACCAGGGUUUGACAUCCUGCGAACCCCUGAGAAAUCGGGGGGUGCCUUCGGGAGCGCAGAGACAGGUGGUGCAUGGCUGUCGUCAGCUCGUGUCGUGAGAUGUUGGGUUAAGUCCCGCAACGAGCGCAACCCACGUCUUUAGUUGCCAGCAUUCAGUUGGGCACUCUAGAGAGACCGCCGGUGAUAAACCGGAGGAAGGUGUGGAUGACGUCGAGUCAUCAUGCCCCUUACAUCCUGGGCUACACACGUACUACAAUGCUACGGACAAAGGGCAGCAAGCUCGCGAGAGUUAGCAAAUCCCAUAAACCGUGGCUCAGUUCAGAUCGUAGGCUGCAACUCGCCUACGUGAAGGAGGAAUCGCUAGUAAUCGCAGGUCAGCAUACUGCGGUGAAUACGUUCCCGGGCCUUGUACACACCGCCCGUCACACCAUGGAAGUUGGCCAUGCCCGAAGUCGUUACUCCAACCCUUGUGGAGGAGGACGCCGAAGGUGGGGCUGAUGACUGGGGUGAAGUCGAAACAAGGUA
RNAcentral lists this ribosomal RNA (1443 nucleotides) under metagenome. RNAcentral's name for it is "bacterial SSU rRNA". It matches the Rfam family "Bacterial small subunit ribosomal RNA". The record is from RNAcentral.